This 200-nucleotide ribosomal RNA is filed under the name uncultured bacterium. RNAcentral describes it as "partial 16S ribosomal RNA". It matches the Rfam family "Bacterial small subunit ribosomal RNA", at positions 312 to 504 of the family's 1533-position model. The record is from RNAcentral.
ACUGGAACUGAAACACGGUCCAGACUCCUACGGGAGGCAGCAGUGGGGAAUAUUGCGCAAUGGGCGAAAACCUGACGCAGCGACGCCGCGUGAGGGAUGAAGGUUUUCGGAUCGUAAACCUCUGUCAGAAGGGAAGAAACUACGUUGUGCUAAUCAGCAGCGUACUGACGGUACCUUCAAAGGAAGCACCGGCUAACUCC